GCUGCCGAUGCACAGACGGUAGAGAUUCCGUCACCACCAAAAGAGUUAAACACAGGGACACAUUUGAAGUCUCGGAGCCGGGUGUUGGUUCCGGUAGCGAUCGAGGGAAGUUAGUACCGAAGUCCGGGAUGGAAGAUGGCGAGAAAAGCUGUGUGUAUUUCUGCGGUGCCCGUACCGCAAACCGACACAGGUAGGUAGGAAGAAGAUUCUAAGGCCAACGGGAGAAGGGUUGUUAAGGAACUCGGCAAAUUGACCCCGUAACUUCGGGAGAAGGGGUGCUCCAGAGAUGGAGCCGCAGAGAAUCGGCCCAAGCAACUGUUUACCAAAAACACAGGUUUGUGCUAAAUCGAAAGAUGACGUAUACGAGCUGACGCCUGCCCGGUGCUGGAAGGUUAAGAGGAGAUGUGCAAGCAUUGAAUCGAAGCCCCAGUGAACGGCGGCCGUAACUAUAACGGUCCUAAGGUAGCGAAAUUCCUUGUCAGGUAAGUUCUGACCCGCAUGAAAGGCGUAAUGAUUUGGGCACUGUCUCGACAGCCCGCCCGGCGAAAUUGUAGUACCGGUGAAGAUGCCGGUUACCCGCGACAAGACGGAAAGACCCCAUGGAGCUUUACUGUAGCCUAAUAUUGGGUUUCGAUGUUGCAUGCACAGGAUAGAUGGGACACAGGGAAACAAGUGCUUUGGCAUUUGUGGAGUGGCCGUUGGGAUACCAUCCUUGCGAUAUUGGAAUUCUAACCUGCGCCUUUUAAAUCAAGGCGGGGGACAUUGUUAGGUGGGCAGUUUGACUGGGGCGGUCGCCUCCUAAAGAGUAACGGAGGCGUUCAAAGGUUCGCUCAGCUUGAACGGAAAUCAAGCAAAAGAGUGCAAACGCAGAAGCGAGCCUAACUGCGAGACUGACGAGUCGAGCAGUAACGAAAGUUGGAGUUAGUGAUCCGGUGGUAUGUGAGUGGAAAUGCCAUCGCUCAACGGAUAAAAGUUACCCUGGGGAUAACAGGCUGAUCUCCCCCAAGAGUCCACAUCGACGGGGAGGUUUGGCACCUCGAUGUCGGCUCAUCGCAUCCUGGGGCUGUAUUCGGUCCCAAGGGUUUGGCUGUUCGCCAAUUAAAGCGGUACGCGAGCUGGGUUCAGAGCGUCGUGAGACAGUUCGGUCCCUAUCUGUCGUGGGCGCAGGAUAUUUGAUGGGAGCUGUUCCUAGUACGAGAGGACCGGAGCGGACGUACCUCUGGCGCACCAGUUGUUCUGCCAAGGGCAUAGCUGGGCAACUAUGUACGGAUCGGAUAAACGCUGAAAGCAUCUAAGCGUGAAGCCGACCCAAAGAUAAGAUAUCCCAUUGUUUUAAACAAGUAAGACCCCUUGAAGACUACAAGGUUGAUAGGCACGAUGUGUAAGUGGAGUGAUUCAUUCAGCAAGCGUGUACUAAUAGGUCGAGGGCUUGACCG
This 1436-nucleotide ribosomal RNA is filed under the name metagenome. RNAcentral describes it as "bacterial LSU rRNA". It matches the Rfam family "Bacterial large subunit ribosomal RNA", at positions 1411 to 2925 of the family's 2925-position model. The record is from RNAcentral.